UAAGGGGACUGAGGUUUAAAGCUCAGAUGCAGGAAUUAGCAGUUCUUGCUGGCUUGGGCCUCCCCUC
RNAcentral lists this transfer RNA (67 nucleotides) under Gallus gallus (chicken). Its description in RNAcentral is "tRNA-Ser". The record is from RNAcentral. Lineage: Eukaryota; Metazoa; Chordata; Aves; Galliformes; Phasianidae.